UACAGAGGGUGCGAGCGUUGUCCGGAAUCACUGGGCGUAAAGGGCGCGUAGGCGGCCAGCGCAGUUCAGUGGGGAAAUCUCCGGGCUUAACUCGGAAAGGUCAACUGAUACUGCGCGGCUAGAGUGCAGAAGGGGCAACUGGAAUUCUCGGUGUAGCGGUGAAAUGCGUAGAUAUCGAGAGGAACACCUGCGGCGAAGGCGGGUUGCUGGGCUGACACUGACGCUGAUGCGCGAAAGCCAGGGGAGCGAACGGG
RNAcentral lists this ribosomal RNA (254 nucleotides) under uncultured bacterium. RNAcentral's name for it is "partial 16S ribosomal RNA". It matches the Rfam family "Bacterial small subunit ribosomal RNA", at positions 524 to 776 of the family's 1533-position model. The record is from RNAcentral.